This 959-nucleotide ribosomal RNA is filed under the name uncultured bacterium. RNAcentral's name for it is "bacterial SSU rRNA". It matches the Rfam family "Bacterial small subunit ribosomal RNA", at positions 1 to 919 of the family's 1533-position model. The record is from RNAcentral.
CCGAAUUCGUCCCACUACAGAGUUUGAUCCUGGCUCAGAAUGAACGCUNGGCGGCGUGCUUAACACAUGCAAGUCGUGGGCGAAAGGAGGCUUCGGCCUCUGGGAAGGGGGGAAAGGGGGAAAUAACCCGGGGGUUAUCCGGCCGGGGAGCGGGGAAUAACCUGGGGAAACUCGGGCUAAUACCGCAUACGUUGUCGGGACUUUGGUUCUGACCAGAAAGCUGGCCUCUAUUUAUAAGCUAGCGCUCCUAGAGGAGCCCGCGGCUGAUUAGCUAGUUGGUGGGGUAAUGGCCUACCAAGGCGACGAUCAGUAGCCGGCCUGAGAGGGUGAUCGGCCACACUGGGACUGAGACACGGCCCAGACUCCUACGGGAGGCAGCAGUGGGGAAUAUUGGACAAUGGGCGCAAGCCUGAUCCAGCAACGCCGCGUGGAGGAUGAAGGUCUUCGGAUCGUAAACUCCUGUCAGGCGGGACGAAGGUACGUGGGCAAAUAGUCUUCGUGCUUGACGGUACCGUCAGAGGAAGCCCCGGCUAACUCCGUGCCAGCAGCCGCGGUAAUACGGAGGGGGCGAGCGUUAUUUGGAAUUAUUGGGCGUAAAGGGCGCGUAGGCGGCCCGGUAAGUCAAAGGUGAAAUCCCUCGGCUCAACUGAGGAACUGCCUUUGAAACUGUCGGGCUUGAGGCCGGGAGGGGGUAGCGGAAUUCCCAGUGUAGCGGUGAAAUGCGUAGAUACUGGGAGGAACACCAGUGGCGAAGGCGGCUACCUGGACCGGUUCUGACGCUGAUGCGCGAAGGCGUGGGUAACAAAAAGGAUUAGAUACCCUGUUAGUCCACGCUGGUAACGAUGGGUGGUCGGUGGCCGGGGGAUCGACCCCCUGGGGUGCCUUUACCUAACGGGUUAAACACCCCGCCUGGGGGAGGCCGGGGCCAGGGGUGAAAACCCCAAGAGAAUUGGGGGGGG